CGCCAGCAACGCUGGCGGUAUGCUUAACACAUGCAAGUCGAACGGUCUCUUCGGAGAUAGUGGCGGACGGGUUAGUAACGCGUGAGAAUCUAGCUUCAGGUCGGGGACAACCCCUGGAAACGGUGGCUAAUACCGGAUGUGCCGAAAGGUGAAAGAUUUAUUGCCUGAAGAUGAGCUCGCGUCUGAUUAGCUAGUUGGUGUGGUAAGAGCGCACCAAGGCGACGAUCAGUAGCUGGUCUGUAAGAGGAUGAUCAGCCACACUGGGACUGAGACACGGCCCAGACUCCUACGGGAGGCAGCAGUGGGGAAUUUUCCGCAAUG
This 321-nucleotide ribosomal RNA is filed under the name Nostoc sp. CG11. Its description in RNAcentral is "bacterial SSU rRNA". It matches the Rfam family "Bacterial small subunit ribosomal RNA", at positions 32 to 373 of the family's 1533-position model. The record is from RNAcentral. Lineage: Bacteria; Bacillati; Cyanobacteriota; Cyanophyceae; Nostocales; Nostocaceae.